AAUGAGUCCUUGUAAUGGAUGUUGGCGACAGUUGGUCCAUUGUAGGAGUAGAGUGCGCAUUAAGAUAUGACCUAUCGACCUUGAUAGAGAGAAGUAGUCCUACGAGAUUUGAAAAGCUAAGUCUAAGAAUUUAUGGCCAUAGUAGUGUGAUUGAUGGAAAAAAAUUUUCAUAGAAGUCAUAACUUGACUUGAGCUAAUCGAAUCUAUCAUAUG
This 213-nucleotide long non-coding RNA is filed under the name Elaeis guineensis (African oil palm). RNAcentral's name for it is "long non-coding RNA (EGUI_LNC068076)". The record is from RNAcentral. Lineage: Eukaryota; Viridiplantae; Streptophyta; Magnoliopsida; Arecales; Arecaceae.